RNAcentral lists this ribosomal RNA (258 nucleotides) under uncultured bacterium. RNAcentral describes it as "partial 16S ribosomal RNA". It matches the Rfam family "Bacterial small subunit ribosomal RNA", at positions 524 to 776 of the family's 1533-position model. The record is from RNAcentral.
UACAGAGGUGGCAAGCGUUGUUCGGAAUUACGUGGGCGUAAAGGGCGCGUAGGCGGCCUUCUAAGUCAGACGUGAAAUCCCCAGGCUUAACUUCGGGAACUGCGGUGCUGAUACUGGGAGGCUUGAGUGCGGGAGAGGGAUGUGGAAUUCCAGGUGUAGCGGUAGAAAUGCGUAGAUAUCUGGAGGAACACCGGUGGCGAAGGCGGCAUCCUGGACCGACACUGACGCUGAGGCGCGAAAGCUAGGGUAGCAAACGGG